GUGCUCGCUUCAGCAGAACAUAUACUAAAAUUGGAAUGAUGCAGAGAAAGAUUUUGCAUGCCCCUGUACAAGAAUGACAUGCAAAUUUGUGAAGCAUUCCAUAUUUUU
This 108-nucleotide small nuclear RNA is filed under the name Tupaia belangeri (northern tree shrew). The record is from RNAcentral. Lineage: Eukaryota; Metazoa; Chordata; Mammalia; Scandentia; Tupaiidae.